This 816-nucleotide ribosomal RNA is filed under the name uncultured bacterium. RNAcentral describes it as "bacterial SSU rRNA". It matches the Rfam family "Bacterial small subunit ribosomal RNA", at positions 8 to 807 of the family's 1533-position model. The record is from RNAcentral.
AGAGUUUGCUUCUGGCUCAGGAUGAACGCUGGCGGCAUGCCUAAUACAUGCAAGUCGAACGAGAGGAAGGAAAGCUUGCUUUUCUGAAUCUAGUGGCGAACGGGUGAGUAACACGUAGGUAACCUGCCCAUGUGUCCGGGAUAACUUCUGGAAACGGAUGCUAAAACCGGAUAGGUAGCAGACAAGCAUUUGACUGCUAUUAAAGUGGCUUUGGCCAUGAACAUGGAUGGACCUGCGGUGCAUUAGCUGGUUGGUGAGGUAACGGCCCACCAAGGCGACGAUGCAUAGCCGGCCUGAGAGGGCGGACGGCCACAUUGGGACUGAGACACGGCCCAAACUCCUACGGGAGGCAGCAGUAGGGAAUUUUCGUCAAUGGGGGGAACCCUGAACGAGCAAUGCCGCGUGAGUGAGGAAGGUCUUCGGACCGUAAAGCUCUGUUAUAAGAGAAAAACGGCACUCAUAGGGAAUGAUGAGUGAGUGAUGGUAUCUUACCAGAAAGUCACGGCUAACUACGUGCCAGCAGCCGCGGUAAUACGUAGGUGGCGAGCGUUAUCCGGAAUGAUUGGGCGUAAAGGGUGCGUAGGUGGCAGAUCAAGUCUGGAGUAAAAGGUAUGGGCUCAACCCGUACUGGCUCUGGAAACUGAUCAGCUAGAGAACAGAAGAGGACGGCGGAACUCCAUGUGUAGCGGUAAAAUGCGUAGAUAUAUGGAAGAACACCGGUGGCGAAGGCGGCCGUCUGGUCUGGAUUCUGACACUGAAGCACGAAAGCGUGGGGAGCAAAUAGGAUUAGAUACCCUAGUAGUCCACGCCGUAAAC